RNAcentral lists this ribosomal RNA (444 nucleotides) under uncultured bacterium. Its description in RNAcentral is "bacterial SSU rRNA". It matches the Rfam family "Bacterial small subunit ribosomal RNA", at positions 29 to 468 of the family's 1533-position model. The record is from RNAcentral.
ACGAACGCUGGCGGCGUGCUUAACACAUGCAAGUCGAGCGGUAAGGCCCUUUCGGGGGUACACGAGCGGCGAACGGGUGAGUAACACGUGGGUGACCUGCCCUCAGCUCUGGGAUAAGCCUGGGAAACCGGGUCUAAUACCGGAUAUGACUCCAUGACGCAUGUUGUGGGGUGGAAAGCCUUGUGCGGCUGAGGAUGGGCCCGCGGCCUAUCAGCUUGUUGGUGGGGUGANGGCCUGCCAAGGCGACGACGGGUAGCCGGCCUGAGAGGGCGGACGGCCACACUGGGACUGAGACACGGCCCAGACUCCUACGGGAGGCAGCAGUGGGGAAUUGUUCGCAAUGGGCGCAAAGCCUGACGACGCAACGCCGCGUGGAGGAUGAAGAUCUUCGGGUCGUAAACUCCUUUCGAUCGAGACGAACGGCCUCCGGGUUAAUACUCCGGA